CGUGCGGUUCUAUUUUGUUGGUUUCUAGGACCGCCGUAAUGAUUAAUAGGGACAGUCGGGGGCAUCAGUAUUCAAUUGUCAGAGGUGAAAUUCUUGGAUUUAUUGAAGACUAACUACUGCGAAAGCAUUUGCCAAGGAUGUUUUCAUUAAUCAGGAACGAAAGUUAGGGGAUCGAAGACGAUCAGAUACCGUCGUAGUCUUAACCAUAAACUAUGCCGACUAGGGAUCGGGCGGUGUUAUUUUUUGACCCGCUCGGCACCUUACACGAAAGUAAAGUUUUUGGGUUCUGGGGGGAGUAUGGUCGCAAGGCUGAAACUUAAAGAAAUUGACGGAAGGGCACCACCAGGGGUGGAGCCUGCGGCUUAAUUUGACUCAACACGGGGAAACUCA
RNAcentral lists this ribosomal RNA (390 nucleotides) under fungal sp. RNAcentral's name for it is "SSU rRNA". It matches the Rfam family "Eukaryotic small subunit ribosomal RNA", at positions 827 to 1217 of the family's 1831-position model. Lineage: Eukaryota; Fungi. The record is from RNAcentral.